This 303-nucleotide ribosomal RNA is filed under the name uncultured bacterium. Its description in RNAcentral is "partial 16S ribosomal RNA". It matches the Rfam family "Bacterial small subunit ribosomal RNA", at positions 507 to 807 of the family's 1533-position model. The record is from RNAcentral.
AGCAGCAGCCACGGUAAAACGUAGGGUGCGAGCGUUAAUCGGAAUUACUGGGCGUAAAGCGUGCGCAGGCGGUUUGUUAAGACAGAUGUGAAAUCCCCGGGCUCAACCUGGGGACUGCAUUUGUGACUGGCAAGCUAGAGUAUGGCAGAGGGGGGUGGAAUUCCGCGUGUAGCAGUAAAAUGCGUAGAUAUGCGGAGGAACACCGAUGGCGAAGGCAGCCCCCUGGGCCAAUACUGACGCUCAUGCACGAAAGCGUGGGGAGCAAACAGGAUUAGAUACCCCCGUAGUCCCUGUCUCUUAUAC